Molecule: ribosomal RNA, 253 nt
Filed under: uncultured bacterium
Lineage: Bacteria
Description: partial 16S ribosomal RNA
Rfam family: Bacterial small subunit ribosomal RNA
Source: RNAcentral
UACGGAGGGAGCUAGCGUUGUUCGGAAAUACUGGGCGUAAAGCGCACGUAGGCGGCGCGGCAAGUCAGGGGUGAAAUCCCGGGGCUCAACCCCGGAACUGCCCUUGAAACUGCAGUGCUAGAAUCUUGGAGAGGCGAGUGGAAUUCCGAGUGUAGAGGUGAAAUUCGUAGAUAUUCGGAAGAACACCAGUGGCGAAGGCGACUCGCUGGACAAGUAUUGACGCUGAGGCACGAAAGCGUGGGGAGCAAACAGG